CUCUCCAAACCCUAACUUCUGAUUUUCCAUCUGAGAGAAGAGCAGAGUAACGCAUGCGACUCCCUUUAAGAGGUUGCCAUUAACCUUCACAUUCAUUCUCAUUUACGCGACAACCCACUAAGUCUCAUUAAUUUCCCAUGACCGCCCUCUUCAGCUUCUCCGCAAUCUCUCACCUAUAAAAAGGCAUCUCUGGCGCCAUGGUUCUUAUUCAUUUGGCUUCUCCACUCAACACACAGGCACUAACCUUUACCGGCAAUUGUGACCUCCCAGCUAUCGCUCUCCUAAAAAAAAAAUGGUAAGCUUUCUCACGAUUGGUGGAGGAGGAAACCUAGGACUUUAGGAGGGAUAACAACAGGUGAUGCCUUCACCUAUCUCAAAGCUGUUAUAGGACAUCUUUCAAGACAAGAAAGACAAUUGCCACUAAUGGCGUCAUAGCAAGAGUAAGAGAGUUGUUCAAGGGCUAUGACGACUUGCUUUCGGGGUUUAAUACUUUCUUGCCCAAGGGAUACAAAAUAACCCUUUCGUAGAAGAAGGCAGUGGAUCUCGGAGAAGCUACCGAUCAGGGUGCGCUUUGGGAGCGAUAACCGUGCAUAUAAGAAGUUUCUAGACAUCUUUAACAUGUAUAGAGGGGAAAUCAGUCUAUCUCUGAUGUAUAACAAGAUGGUGUGUUUACAGUUGAUCAGGUUCUUCUUAUUACUCUCUCUCCGGAAGGAAUAACUACCAGGUGAUAAGAGUUCUCCAGAUCCUGCCAUGCAUCCAAGGAAUUUUGAGAAGUUCUACUCCUAGAUUAUUCUUUCUAAAAGAUGCUCAUAUCUUUGUUAAUAAGAUGACGAAAUAUAGUGUGAAAACUGAUUUCUCAAUAUAAUAAGUUGCCGUAAAGAAACUUUAUAUAUUACGAGACUCGACCUCUUUACGUAAAAGAAUAAAUUCACUUCUUAGA
Molecule: long non-coding RNA, 940 nt
Organism: Brassica oleracea var. oleracea
Lineage: Eukaryota; Viridiplantae; Streptophyta; Magnoliopsida; Brassicales; Brassicaceae
Exons: 4
Source: RefSeq, a predicted model, not a curated record